GCAAAGUUGUGUAGUGCGAUCGGUGGAUGCCUUGGCACCAAGAGCCGAUGAAGGACGUUGUGACCUGCGAUAAGCCCUGGGGAGUUGGUGAGCGAGCUGUGAUCCGGGGGUGUCCGAAUGGGGAAACCUGGAAUGCCCGGAGUAGUGUCCGGUGGCCCUGCCCUGAAUGUAUAGGGGUGUGGGUGGUAACGCGGGGAAGUGAAACAUCUUAGUACCCGUAGGAAGAGAAAACAAGUGUGAUUCCGUGAGUAGUGGCGAGCGAAAGCGGAGGAGGCUAAACCGUGUGUGUGUUCAAGCCGGCAGGUGUUGCAUGUGCGGGGUUGUGGGGGCCUUGUGGUUCUGCUGCCGCAGGAUUGGCCAGUGAGAAAUGUUGCGUGAAGGUGAAGCGUCUGGGAAGGCGUACCGGAGUGGGUGAGAGUCCUGUAACUGUAAGCGUGGCACUGGUGUGGGGUUGCCCCGAGUAGCGUGGGACUCGUGGAAUUUCGCGUGAAUCUGGCGGGACCACCCGUCAAGCCUAAAUACUCCUUGGUGACCGAUAGUGGAUGAGUACCGUGAGGGAAGGGUGAAAAGUACCCCGGGAGGGGAGUGAAAGAGUUCCUGAAACCGGUCGCAUGCAAGCCGUCAGAGCCUGUGUGGUGAUGGCGUGCCUUUUGAAGAAUGAGCCUGCGAGUUAGUGAUGCGUGGCGAGGUUAACCCGUGGUGGGGGAGUCGUAGCGAAAGCGAGUCCGAUAAGGGCGUGAGUCGCGUGUUCUAGACCCGAAGCGGUGUGAUCUAUCCAUGGCCAGGAUGAAGCGUCGGUAAGACGUCGUGGAGGUCCGAACCCACUUCAGUUGAAAAUGGAGGGGAUGAGUUGUGGAUAGGGGUGAAAGGCCAAUCAAACACCGUGAUAGCUGGUUCUCCCCGAAAUGCAUUUAGGUGCAGCGUUGCGUGGUUCUUGCUGGAGGUAGAGCACUGGAUGGUCUAGGGGGCUUAUCGGCUUACCGAAAUCAGCCAAACUCCGAAUGCUGGCAAGUGUAGCGUGGCAGUGAGACGGCGGGGGAUAAGCUUCGUCGUCGAGAGGGAAACAGCCCAGAUCAUCAGCUAAGGCCCCUAAGUGGUGACUCAGUGGGAAAGGAUGUGGAGUUGCGUAGACAACCAGGAGGUUGGCUUGGAAGCAGCCAUCCUUGAAAGAGUGCGUAAUAGCUCACUGGUCAAGUGAUUCCGCGCCGAUAAUGUAGCGGGGCUUAAGUUAUCCGCCGAAGCUGUGGCAACCUGUGUGGUUGGGUAGGGGAGCGUCGUGUCAGUGGUGAAGCUGCCGGGUGACUGUGUGGUGGAGUUGAUGCGAGUGAGAAUGCAGGCAUGAGUAGCGUGUGACGGGUGGGAAUCCCGUCCGCCGAUUAUCCAAGGGUUCCAGGGUCAAGUUUGUCUGCCCUGGGUGAGUCGGGUCCUAAGGCGAGGCCGACAGGCGUAGUCGAUGGGUAA
This 1461-nucleotide ribosomal RNA is filed under the name Cutibacterium acnes. Its description in RNAcentral is "bacterial LSU rRNA". It matches the Rfam family "Bacterial large subunit ribosomal RNA", at positions 1 to 1425 of the family's 2925-position model. The record is from RNAcentral. Lineage: Bacteria; Bacillati; Actinomycetota; Actinomycetes; Propionibacteriales; Propionibacteriaceae.